Non-coding RNA from Flavobacterium sp. CF136, 76 nucleotides. The record is from Rfam. NCBI's taxonomy places the organism in Bacteria, Pseudomonadati, Bacteroidota, Flavobacteriia, Flavobacteriales, Flavobacteriaceae.
CCCCAGCCCAGAUGGGAACGGCAUCCUUUUGUGGCGGUGUUCGCCACAAAAGAUACAGUGGACAGCUGGAAAGAGC